GACGAACGCUGGCGGCGUGCUUAACACAUGCAAGUCGAACGGAAAGGCCCUGCUUUUGUGGGGUGCUCGAGUGGCGAACGGGUGAGUAACACGUGAGUAACCUGCCCUUGACUUUGGGAUAACUUCAGGAAACUGGGGCUAAUACCGGAUAGGAGCUCCUGCUGCAUGGUGGGGGUUGGAAAGUUUCGGCGGUUGGGGAUGGACUCGCGGCUUAUCAGCUUGUUGGUGGGGUAGUGGCUUACCAAGGCUUUGACGGGUAGCCGGCCUGAGAGGGUGACCGGCCACAUUGGGACUGAGAUACGGCCCAGACUCCUACGGGAGGCAGCAGUGGGGAAUAUUGCACAAUGGGCGGAAGCCUGAUGCAGCAACGCCGCGUGCGGGAUGACGGCCUUCGGGUUGUAAACCGCUUUCGCCUGUGACGAAGCGUGAGUGACGGUAAUGGGUAAAGAAGCACCGGCUAACUACGUGCCAGCAGCCGCGGUGAUACGUAGGGUGCGAGCGUUGUCCGGAUUUAUUGGGCGUAAAGGGCUCGUAGGUGGUUGAUCGCGUCGGAAGUGUAAUCUUGGGGCUUAACCCUGAGCGUGCUUUCGAUACGGGUUGACUUGAGGAAGGUAGGGGAGAAUGGAAUUCCUGGUGGAGCGGUGGAAUGCGCAGAUAUCAGGAGGAACACCAGUGGCGAAGGCGGUUCUCUGGGCCUUUCCUGACGCUGAGGAGCGAAAGCGUGGGGAGCGAACAGGCUUAGAUACCCUGGUAGUCCACGCUGUAAACGGUGGGUACUAGGUGUGGGGUCCAUUCCACGGGUUCCGUGCCGUAGCUAACGCUUUAAGUACCCCGCCUGGGGAGUACGGCCGCAAGGCUAAAACUCAAAGGAAUUGACGGGGCCCCGCACAAGCGGCGGAGCAUGCGGAUUAAUUCGAUGCAACGCGUAGAACCUUACCUGGGUUUGACAUGGAUCGGGAGUGCUCAGAGAUGGGUGUGCCUCUUUUGGGGUCGGUUCACAGGUGGUGCAUGCCUGUCGUCAGCUCGUGUCGUGAGAUGUUGGGUUAAGUCCCGCAACGAGCGCAACCCUUGUUCACUGUUGCCAGCACGUUAUGGUGGGGACUCAGUGGAGACCGCCGGGGUCAACUCGGAGGAAGGUGGGGAUGACGUCAAGUCCUCAUGCCCCUUAUGUCCAGGGCUUCACGCAUGCUACAAUGGCUGGUACAGAGAGUGGCGAGCCUGUGAGGGUGAGCGAAUCUCGGAAAGCCGGUCUCAGUUCGGAUUGGGGUCUGCAACUCGACCUCAUGAAGUCGGAGUCGCUAGUAAUCGCAGAUCAGCAACGCUGCGGUGAAAAAGUUCCCGGGGCU
Molecule: ribosomal RNA, 1346 nt
Filed under: uncultured bacterium
Lineage: Bacteria
Description: bacterial SSU rRNA
Rfam family: Bacterial small subunit ribosomal RNA
Source: RNAcentral